AAGGCGGUAAUCCGAAAAGCCAGUAUUGAAAAGAGUAGGAG
Molecule: non-coding RNA, 41 nt
Organism: Flavobacteriaceae bacterium (ex Bugula neritina AB1)
Lineage: Bacteria; Pseudomonadati; Bacteroidota; Flavobacteriia; Flavobacteriales; Flavobacteriaceae
Source: Rfam